CGGCGAGUGAAGCGGCAAUAGCUCAAAUUUGAAAGCUGGCGUCUUCGACGUCCGCGUUGUAAUUUGUAGAGGAUGCUUCGGCGAGGACUCCUGCCUAAGUCCCCUGGAACGGGGCGUCACAGAGGGUGAGAAUCCCGUAUGUGGCGGGCGGUCCAAGCCAUGUGAAGCUCCUUCGACGAGUCGAGUUGUUUGGGAAUGCAGCUCUAAAUGGGAGGUAAAUUUCUUCUAAAGCUAAAUAUUGGCCAGAGACCGAUAGCGCACAAGUAGAGUGAUCGAAAGAUGAAAAGCACUUUGGAAAGAGAGUUAAAAAGUACGUGAAAUUGUUGAAAGGGAAGCGCUUGCAACCAGACUCGCUCGCAGUUGCUCAGCCGGCCUCUUGGCCGGUGUACUCUUCUGCGAUCGGGCCAGCAUCAGUUCGGGCGGCCGGAUAAAGGUGUCGGGAAUGUAGCACCCUUCGGGGUGUGUUAUAGCCCGGCGCGGAAUGCGGCCAGCCUGGACUGAGGAUCUCGCUUCGGCAAGGAUGCUGGCGUAAUGGUUGUAAGCGGCCCGUCUUGAAACACGGACCAAGGAGUCUAACAUCUAUGCGAGUGUUUGGGUGUCAAACCCAUGCGCGUAAUGAAAGUGAACGGAGGUGGGAACCCCUCACGGGGUGCACCAUCGACCGAUCCUGAUGUCUUCGGAUGGAUUUGAGUAAGAGCAUAGCUGUUGGGACCCGAAAGAUGGUGAACUAUGCCUGAAUAGGGUGAAGCCAGAGGAAACUCUG
This 763-nucleotide ribosomal RNA is filed under the name Phyllosticta telopeae. Its description in RNAcentral is "eukaryotic LSU rRNA". It matches the Rfam family "Eukaryotic large subunit ribosomal RNA", at positions 87 to 866 of the family's 3401-position model. Lineage: Eukaryota; Fungi; Ascomycota; Dothideomycetes; Botryosphaeriales; Phyllostictaceae. The record is from RNAcentral.